UGAACCAUUGGGGCCCCAGCGGUGAACGCUAUGCAGAUAUGAUUAUGCACAUUUCACAGGUUCUCAAACUCUCCUAAACCCUUGAGUACCUCAUGGGCCUCCUCAAGGGUAAAGGAGCCAAACAGAGUGAACCCGAGGAAGGAAAACUGAAGCCCAGAGAAGUUGAUCAAUCUGUCCAGGGACACGCAGCGACAGAGGAGGUGAAGGUUUUCUCCUUGGAAUAUUGAAGAGGAAAUAUGCGUUAGAAAUACGUCAAGUCAUGGGGCGCCUGGGUGGUUCACUCAGUUAAGCGUCUGACUACGGCUCAGGUCAUGAUUU
Long non-coding RNA from Prionailurus viverrinus (fishing cat), 318 nucleotides. RefSeq lists it as uncharacterized. The record is from RefSeq and is a predicted model, not a curated record. The transcript is spliced from 3 exons. NCBI's taxonomy places the organism in Eukaryota, Metazoa, Chordata, Mammalia, Carnivora, Felidae.